AUGAACGCUAGCGACAGGCCUAACACAUGCAAGUCGAGGGGCAGCACAAGGAGCAAUCUGAGGUGGCGACCGGCGCACGGGUGAGUAACACGUAUGCAACCUGCCUGUAAGCGGGGAAUAACCCGUUGAAAGACGGACUAAUACCGCAUAAUACUAAAUUACUGCAUGGUAAUUUAUUUAAACAUUUAUGGCUUACAGAUGGGCAUGCGCAUGAUUAGCUAGUUGGAGAGGUAACGGCUCCCCAAGGCAACGAUCAUUAGGGGUUCUGAGAGGAAGGUCCCCCACACUGGUACUGAGACACGGACCAGACUCCUACGGGAGGCAGCAGUGAGGAAUAUUGGCCAAUGGACGAGAGUCUGAACCAGCCAAGUCGCGUGCAGGAAGAAUGUCCCUAUGGAUUGUAAACUGCUUUUGCAGGGGAAUAAAGUGCAUCACGUGUGAUGUUUUGUAUGUACUCUGCGAAUAAGGAUCGGCUAACUCCGUGCCAGCCGCUGC
This 495-nucleotide ribosomal RNA is filed under the name uncultured bacterium. RNAcentral describes it as "bacterial SSU rRNA". It matches the Rfam family "Bacterial small subunit ribosomal RNA", at positions 29 to 518 of the family's 1533-position model. The record is from RNAcentral.